Peromyscus californicus insignis is the source of this 4555-nucleotide long non-coding RNA. RefSeq lists it as uncharacterized. The transcript is spliced from 2 exons. NCBI's taxonomy places the organism in Eukaryota, Metazoa, Chordata, Mammalia, Rodentia, Cricetidae. The record is from RefSeq and is a predicted model, not a curated record.
AUCCUAGCAUUUAGGAGGGAGAGGAAGGCAGAUCUUUGUGAGUUCAAGGACAGCCUGGUCUACAUAGUGAGUUCCAUCCAGGACAGCCAGAGGUGCAUAGUGAGACCCUGUCUCAAACAACAACAAACAAAACAAAAAGGAUUUAUUUUAGUUUUGUGUAUCAGUGUAUGAGUAUUUUGCCUGCAUAAGUGUAUGUAUACCACAUGUGUGGUACCCUUGAAAGUCAGAAGGAGAAAUUGGAUUUCCUGGAAUUAGAGUUACGGAUGGUUGUGAACAUCAUGUGGGUGCUGGGGACUGAACCCUGGUUCUCGGCAACAGCAAGUGCUCUGGACCACUGAGCCAUCUCUUCAGCCCCUGCACCCACCUUUUUACAUGGGAGCUAGGACUCAAUUCCUUCUGCUUACAUAGUAAGCACUUGACUCCUGGACCCAUCUUCCUAGCCCCCACUUGUGGUGAUAAUGUGUUCCCCAAUAUAUUGUGAACCCUAAUAAACUUGUCUGGGGUCAGAGAACAGAACAGCCACUAGACAGACAUAGAGACCAGAAAAUGGUGGCACUCACACCUUUAAUCCUAGCAUUCCAGAGUCAGAGAUCCAUCUGGAUCUCUGUGAGUAAAUAGCCAGGCAUGGUGACUCAUGCCUUUAAUCCCAGGAAGAGAGCCUUUAAUCAGAGGAAGUGAUGGCAGAAAGCAGAAAGGUAUAUAAAGCGUGGAAACCAGGAACUAGAGCUGGUUAAGCUUUUAGGCUUUUAGCAGCAGUUCAGCUGAGAUCCAUUUGGAUGAGGACUCAGAGGCUUCCAGUCUGAGGAAACAGGAUCAGCUGAGGAACGGGCGAGAUGAGGUAGCUGUGGCUUGCUCUGCUUCUCUGAUCUUUCAGCAUUGACCCCAAUACCCAGCUCCAGGUUUGAUUUUAUUAAUAAGAACUUUUAAGAUUCGUGCAACCCCCCCUUUCAAUUUUAAAGAAAGACAGUUACAGAGAAGUACUGUGCCUAUGGCCACCCCACUAGGAAGUGCAGAGAGGAUCUGCACCAGGUCUAACUCAUGCUCUUUGCUCUAGGGCUAACCUAAACUUCUAGGCAUGUCAUUGCUGCUGAUGCUCUGCAAGUCGGUGGGUUCUAUAUUCUCUGAAGCAACAGGAGCUGGAUAGGAACUUGGAGCUUGCUCAGACCACAUCCCUCAUUUUACUGAUGACGAUCCCAAGACUUGGAGCAGAAAAGUGUUCUCACCUCAGAUUGCCAGUGGCUGCUCUUGACUUUCAAGCUGAACACUCAAGCCUGAUUAUGAUCCUCCUCUAUGCAGCCUGUGGUUUUCUCCCACCCAUCUCCACCACCAUGGUGACAGGAGGAGUGAAGGUGUCGGCCUUGACUCGGAGAUUGUCUUUCUCAGACACUCAGUAGCUUCCAUCUCCAGUCUAUCUCCGGCUCAGAGUGAACCUGGGAGACCGCAGCCAUUCCCUGGAAGGACGCCGAUCUUCACCUUCCUUAAGGUGACAAUGUCUCUCCUACUCUCUGGCACUCACGGAGCCUGCAGUGCUGAGGCCGCAAAAGGACAGAACCCAAUCCUACCGGAACAUGUUGGUCUUUGCUUAGCUCUCUAUGCGGCAGGGGGUUCUACACAAUAAUACCUUCCAUGCCUUGACAAGAGUUCCCGAAAGUGGCACAAUGAAAGUGGUACUGUGAUGAUGACUAACUUGUGUACCCACUUGACUAGGUGAAUGAAAGUCAAGAUAGCUGGAGGGAAAUCAUUUUGACGUAUUGUUAUGUACAGUCUGGAGAAGGAUCUACAAUAACCAUAUUUUGAGUCCCAAAUGAGUAAGUUAAACACGUAGUAAGACAAAGGAACAGACCAAAUAACAAGUGGUAGACAGACAGUAAAACGUCAUAAAAUUGGGCUCUCUCACUUUGUUUCAUCUAUAUCUACUUUCCAGUCACUCCCAAACUGCCCAUGCUUCGGCAGGGUUGCCUCCACCUCACCAACUUCGCUGUUAAGGCUCCCUCUGCUGGAAGCCUCUGUCUCAUCUUUUUGUCUCUCUUUGCCUCUUUCUCUCCCCCACUUCUCCUUUCUUGCUGACAGGAUCUCAUGUACACCAAGGUGGUCUUGAAUUUACUAUGUAGCCAAGUCUGAGCUUGAACUUCUGGCUGUCCAAUUUCUUCCUCCUGAGUGGUGGGGUUAUCAGUGUGUGCCACCACAUCCAGCUAGUUCUGGUUUUUAAGACUGGUCCCAGGCAUCAUUUCUCUUAGGCCUUUGCUGAGCUGCUUCUGUUCAGCGUCAACUAUUCCUACUAAGCAUGGGGAGGUAGGCUGCACUUUAGAGCCUUGGAUUUUAGGAGAGUUCCUUGAGCCUCCAAUAAGCAUUUCACUGUUGUGUAGACUAUUAGUGCAAUGUUGAACACUUACUUUCCUUUUGGGAGUCUGCAGUCUUGGUUCAUGCUUUGUGGAUAGUGCCUUUAUGAUCAUCCCCCCGUGAGUCUGAGCCCUGAGAUGCUGAAAGACUUUCAGAUUGACAUUUCACACUUGUUAUGACCCAUUUCCUGAAGGGUGAACUGCAUCCUGCCUGAUUCCACUGGGUAAGGGCUCUUGGAAGUUUGUACCCCCUGGCUUCUAGAUGGCCCUUCGUGAAUUUUCCCACUGUUAAUUUUGCUUUGUGCCUUUUCACUGUAACACACCAUAGCCACACAGAUGACUAUAUACUGACUCCUCCAUGAAAAUCAUUGACUGGCUUGUCUUGGGACUUUCCACCACAUGUACCACAUGCCUCAUGCAGAUUCUUCCUUGCAUUAAAAUCUCAUACUUUCCAGUAGUUUUACUUAUGACCUAACUUUGUCACAAAGGGUGGGUCUGUCCCAUACACCUCGUCACUCCUUGGUUAUCCGGACACUGAGUUCUGCUGCCCAGCAGAGGAUAUUCUUCUAUUUACAGAUGCUAGACAUCACCUCCAGAAGCCACAGAUUUGACCCAUCGCCCCGGAAAGAUGUUAGAACAUGAAACUGGUGUCAGGGCAGAUUUGGGCAUCCCUUUCUAAGGGAGCCCUUGCAGCAGCAGUCUGUCUAUCAAGCUGUCUUUUCCUCAGGUGAUGGCUCAGAUACAAUGAGAUCCCUAUUGGGCAUAUUUGGAAAUCAGCCUAGCUUAAAUGUCUCAUUUCCACCCCUCACUUUCUUUUUCUUUUUUGAGGCAAGAUCUCACUGGCUGGCCUUAAAUUCACGGAGAUCUGCCUGCCUUCACCUCCCAAAUACUGGAAUUAAAGGCAUUCAUAUUUUUUUUCUGGUAAUCACCAUAUAGGCAUGGCUUCCACAGAUCAUAUGCUUACAAGAGUGACCCCUAUCAAGAUGGUCAAACCUGUGGCUUUUUUGGGUGAUAUUUAUUUGUGUGCAUGUAGCAUAUAUGUAUGCACAUGCAUGCACACAUGCCAUAGCAUGUAAGUAGUCAGAGGGUAGUCUGUGAGAAUUUGUUUGCUCCUAUUACACGGGUUCCUGGACCUGAACUGAGAUUGUCAGGCUUAAUGGCAAGUGCCUUUAUCCACUGAGUUAGUGAGAUGCAGUUGAUUAGUUAGAGGCCACUUGUGCCAUGAGUAGUACGUUUGGCAACAAAGUUGCCAUACAUCUAUAGCCCUACAUCCAUGUGUAUAUGGGCAGCACAAACUGUACUCAGUCAGUUAAAGAGGAGAUGAAGUUGAGAUGGGAAUAGGUCUGGGAGGUGUAGGAGUGGGUAGCGAGGGAUGGAUAGAAUCAAAAUACAUUGUCUCAUGCAUACCAUUCUUUAAGAAUAGAUACAUUUUUAAAACUUACAAGUUGACAUACGAUUUUAACAUAACCAACCUCCAUGACAGCUCCCAGUGACCCCUGAAUCCCAUGUUCAUGCCUCCUCAUUAGGCUAUGGAGGUAGUGAGGUAUGGCUUCUGAGGCUGGGUUACAAAAGAUAUUACAGCUUCUAUUUCCCUCCCUUACUCACCUACUCCAGGGGAGUCAGCUAUGUGAGGAUGUGUAAGCGCUCUGAUGAAGAGGACCAUGUGGUCGGAAACUGAUGUCUCCUGCCAACAGUCAUGAGAUAGCACUGCCUUGGAAGUGGAUUCUCCAGUUCCAUCAAAGCCUUCAGAUGAAUGUAGCCCUAACUGGGCUGGACCAGAUAUUUUCAUCUCUCUGACUUUACUUUCUCAGGGCUGCUCUAUAGCUUGUGACUGGCUUUAUCCCCCACCCUCUCUCUCUGAAAUAGGAGAUUCUUAUGGAGCCCUAGGUGGUCUCAAACUCACAGAGAUCCACCUGCUUCUGCCUCUUGAGUGCUAGGAUGAGAAGCAUGUGAUACCACCCCUGACUCAUUUUCUUUUUUCUUGUAUCCUUGGAGACAGUGGGUUUUAUUCUAGGAUUUUAUUUUCCAGUACAAUUCUUUGUUGAUUCAUUUACCAACCCAACAUUUCCAUUUGGUCAGGCUCACAUUCCCUGCUCCCCUCCAAGUGAUUAUUUCCAUUCUUUCUGCAAAUAAUUAUAUAUUUCUCAAUGAUAUUGGAUAUUUACUGCCUGUGAUGUACUUAGGAGGAAUGACAAAGAGGACGAAGAGCAAAGAUA